UGACAAUCAGACAAUGGCUGGGGCUAGAGUUCUCUUGAAGGCCUUUCCAUUCAUAUUCUCUGGUGCCUGACUUGGGAAGACCUAAAUAGCUGGCGGCUGGAACAGUCGGGGCUCCUCAGGCACCUCUGUCUAUUACAAUGUGCUCCCUCCAUGUGGACUCUCUGUCAGGGUAGCUGGACUUCUUACAUGAAGUCACCUGUACCCGGAGACAGGCUGGUGGAAGUCAAUAACCCAUUGUGAUCCAGCUUCACAAGUCAAGCAGUGUCACUUCCACCAUAUUAUAUGCACGGAGACAGUCAAAAGUGAAUAAAUUAACUUUAGCUUACUGUAAUUUUACUUUAUUAACUUAUUGUUUUUACUCUUUUGUAACCUUCCAAUUCUUUCUAACAGUCUAUAGUUCUAAGUUAAAAAAAAAAAAAAGUCAUCAAUGCCCAUAUAACAGUAAUUUUGUAAGCAAGCAUUUUUGUCAUAGACACAGUGGCAGCUUACCAAGAGAUCAGUAAAUUGACGAUUCACUGUAUAACCAAAUAAAUCUACUUUUGGAUAAGAAUCACUUGUUCCACUUUUGGUCAAACACAGGAUUAAGUGUUUCUUACUACAUUUUUUGACUGAAAAAGUGGCAGAAAUUUUGGUUCCAAACUUCCAAAUUAUCUCAAUGGAAGUUUUAGCAGAAAUUAUUUAUUUAAUCUUAAUAAUUUUAAUAGGGAAAAGUAAUUAAUAAAUUACAAGCAUA
This 733-nucleotide long non-coding RNA is filed under the name Homo sapiens (human). RNAcentral's name for it is "non-protein coding lnc-STEAP1-2:1". Lineage: Eukaryota; Metazoa; Chordata; Mammalia; Primates; Hominidae. The record is from RNAcentral.